RNAcentral lists this long non-coding RNA (2677 nucleotides) under Salmo salar (Atlantic salmon). Its description in RNAcentral is "lncRNA (ENSSSAG00000096950.1)". The record is from RNAcentral. Lineage: Eukaryota; Metazoa; Chordata; Actinopteri; Salmoniformes; Salmonidae.
CCUAGGAGAGCUGUGUUUUCUCUGUUUAGUUAGGUCAGGGUGUGAUAGGUGGGUGGGCAUUCUAUGUUUUGUUUUUCUAUGUUUUGGCCGGGUAUGGUUUCCAAUCAGAGGCAGCUGUCUAUCGUUGUCUCUGAUUGGAAGCCAUACUUAGGCAGCCUUUUUCCCCCUUGGUUUUCGUGGGUUGUUGUUUUCUUUUUCAUUGUAUUUACCUGACAGAACUGUUGGCUGUCAUUUUUGUUUAUUUUGUCUAGUGUUAAUUUUUCAUUAAAAAAAUAACGAUGAGCACUCAACACGCUGAGCCUUGGUCUCUUCUAUAUGACGCCCGUUACACCCUGGUCUCCACAUUAGACAAUAAAUGUUUGUUUUGUUCAAUAAAGUUCAUAUUUAUGUCCAAAUACCUCCUUUUUGUUCACGUGUUUAGUCUAGUAACCCAAAUGCACGAAGCGCGGGCACAAAGUCCAGACGAAAAGUCAAAAAAGUUCCAUUACAGUUCGUAGAAACAUGUCAAACGAUGUAUAUAAUCAAUCUUUAGGAUGUUUUUAUCAGAAAUCUUCAAUAAUAUUCCAACCGGACAAUUCCGUUGUCAUUAGAAAGGAAAGGGAACGGAGCUCGCACUCACCGCCGUGCGUGAGUGUGUAUGUAUAAACGGUGAACCAGCAAAAACAAUAAACAAGAAGCAACACAACAAACAGUUUCGCAGGCUACUAACAGCAAUGCAAAAUCAACUUCCCACACAGACAGGUGGAAAAAGGGCUACCUAAGUAUGGCUCCUAAUCAGCGACAACGAUGUACAGCUGUCCCUGAUUCAGAGCCAUACCAGGCCAAAACACAGAAAUACAAAACAUAGAUAGGGAACAUAAAAUGCCCACCCCAACUAACGCCCUGACCAAACCACAAUAGAGACAUAAAAAGGAACUCGAAGGUCAGGGCGUGACAAUUUCACCUUUAUUUAACCAGGUAGGCAAGUUGAGAACAAGUUCUCAUUUACAAUUGCGACCUGGCCAAGAUAAAGCAAAGCAGUUCGACACAUACAACAGCAGAGUUACACAUGGAGUAAAACAAACAUUCAGUCAAUAAUACAGUAGAAAAAUAAGGGAGGUAAAGGCAAAAAAGGCCAUGCUGGCAAAGUAAAUACAAUAUUGCAAGUAAAACACUGGAAUGGUAGAUUUGUAGUGGAAGAAUGUGCAAAGUACAAAUAGAAAUAAUGGCGUGCAAAGGAGCAAAAUAAAUAAAUAAAUAAAUACAGUAGGGGAAGAGGUAGUUGUUUGGGUGUAACGGCCGUCGUUGAAGAGAGAAGGGGACCAAGCGCAGCGGGUACGUGAAUACUCAUACUUUAAUUUAUUUAAUUAAAGUGAACACGAAAACAAUAAACAAAGAACGACAGACCGACAGUUUCACAGGCUAAUAAUAACAGCAGUGCAAAAUACAACUACACACAAAGAGACAGGUGAAAACAAGCUCCCUAAGUAUGACUCCCAAUCAGGAACAACGAUGUACAGCUGUUCCUGAUUGAGAGCCACACCAGGCCAACAAAGAAAUACAAAACCUAGAAAUCCUAGAAACCCAAAACAAGAACAUACAGCAAAAACCCCGGAACACAUAAAUACAAUACCCCUCUACAUACACAUAACCCCGCAACCAUAUAAAACAAAUACCCUCUGCCAUGUCCUGACCAAACUACCAUAACCAAUAACCCCUAUACUGGUCAGGACGUGACAGUACCCCCCCCAAAGGUGCAGACCCCGGAUGCACCUCACAACAAAAAAACAAAAAAUAAACCCCUAACUAAAGGGAGGGAAGGGAGGGUGGCUGCCGUCAACGACGGCUCCUGUGCUACACCCCCCCCCCCUCCCCAAACCUCCUACAAUGGAGGUGGCUCCGGCUCAGGCCUCAGUCCCCUACCUGACCCAUCCACCCCCACUGAAAUCCUCUGCCUGAGGCUAUUCACUGAUGACCCUGGACUGUAGGGUGACUCUGGGAGCUCCGGGCUGUAGGACACUCACUCGGUUCUGGACUGUAGGCAGACUCACUCGGUUCCGGGCUGUAGGCAGACUCACUCGGUUCCGGGCUGUAGGCAGACUCACUCGGUUCUGGACUGUAGGCAGACUCACUCGGUUCUGGACUGUAGGCAGACUCACUCGGUGCCGGACUGUAGGCAGACUCACUCGGUGCCGGACUGUAGGCAGACUCACUCGGUUCCGGACUGUAGGCAGACUCACUCGGUUCCGGACUGUAGGCCGUCUCAUUUGGUUCCAGACUGUUUUCUGUUACCGGAUACUCUGGACUGGACACUGUUGCCAGAUACUCUGGACUGGACACUGUUGCCGGAUACUCUGGACUGGACACUGUUGCCGGAUACUCUGGACUGGACACUGUUGCCGGAUACUCUGGACUGGACACUGUUGCCGGAUACUGUGGACUGGACACUGUUGCCGGAUACUGUGGACUGGACACUGUUGCCGGAUACUGUGGACUGGACACUGUUGCCGGAUACUCUGGACUGGACACUGUUGCCGGAUACUCUGGACUGGACACUGUGGCCGGACACUCUGGACUGGACACUGUUGUCGGAAGCUCGAGACUGAGCUGACGCAGUGGAAGCCUAAUGCGUUGGGCUGGUAGUGGAGCUACCAGGCUGGAGACACGCACUUUAAUUAAUAACCUCUUACAUCUAGAC